Molecule: long non-coding RNA, 306 nt
Filed under: Brassica napus (rape)
Lineage: Eukaryota; Viridiplantae; Streptophyta; Magnoliopsida; Brassicales; Brassicaceae
Description: long non-coding RNA (BNAP_LNC019866)
Source: RNAcentral
AGGAUUUCAGCUUAAUUUAAAGGAAGAUCACGUGUCUCUACUUCAAAGGAGGAGUGUGUCAACACCUGUUGGUGUACACUUUGGAUGGUAUGCCGUAGAUGAUGAUGAAGCAGAGACAAGAAUAUAGGAUAUUCCAUGUAUGAGGUGUGAUAUGGCAAAUGUAUUGGGGUUGUUAACAUGUUUAUGAGUAAGCUUGGGAUGGUUCAUUGGACUGCGAUUAUGGGUAUUGAGAUACUCAUGGGAACACAAGAUCAUAGACUAUGCUUCAUAGAAGAAUGAAGUGUUUAAGGUUGAAAGAAUUUUGUG